GACGUAGGGCGCGAGCGUUGUCCGGAUUUAUUGGGCGUAAAGAGCUCGUAGGCGGCUUGUUGCGUCGGCUGUGAAAACCCGCGGCUCAACUGUGGGCGGGCAGCUGAUACGGGCAGGCUGGAGUUCGGUAGGGGAGACUGGAAUUCCUGGUGUAGCGGUGAAAUGCGCAGAUAUCAGGAGGAACACCGGUGGCGAAGGCGGGUCUCUGGACAGUUCCUGACGCUGAGGCACGAAGGCCAGGGGAGCAAACGGG
RNAcentral lists this ribosomal RNA (253 nucleotides) under uncultured bacterium. Its description in RNAcentral is "partial 16S ribosomal RNA". It matches the Rfam family "Bacterial small subunit ribosomal RNA", at positions 524 to 776 of the family's 1533-position model. The record is from RNAcentral.